RNAcentral lists this ribosomal RNA (425 nucleotides) under uncultured bacterium. RNAcentral's name for it is "bacterial SSU rRNA". It matches the Rfam family "Bacterial small subunit ribosomal RNA", at positions 359 to 776 of the family's 1533-position model. The record is from RNAcentral.
GAAUAUUGGACAAUGGGGGCAACCCUGAUCCAGCAAUGCCGCGUGUGUGAAGAAGGCCUGCGGGUUGUAAAGCACUUUCAGUAGAGAAGAAAAGCCUAAGGUUAAUAACCUUGAGUCUUGACGUAACCUACAGCAGAAGCACCGGCUAACCCCGUUCCAGCAGCCGCGGUAAUACGGAGGGUGCAAGCGUUAAUCGGAAUUACUUGGCAGAAAGCGCGCGUAGGCGGUUUGUUAAGUCAGAUGUGAAAUCCCCGGGCUCAACCUGGGAAUGGCAGUUGAGACUGGCAGGCUAGAGUGUGGUAGAGGUGAGUGGAAUUUCAGGUGUAGCGGUGAAAUGCGUAGAGAUCUGAAGGAACAUCAGUGGCGAAGGCGACUCACUGGGCCAUUACUGACGCUGAGGUGCGAAAGCGUGGGUAGCAAACAGG